AACAGGAUUAGAUACCCUGGUAGUCCACGCCGUAAACGAUGUCGAUUUGGAGGUUGUGCCCUUGAGGCGUGGCUUCCGGAGCUAACGCGUUAAAUCGACCGCCUGGGGAGUACGGCCGCAAGGUUAAAACUCAAAUGAAUUGACGGGGGCCCGCACAAGCGGUGGAGCAUGUGGUUUAAUUCGAUGCAACGCGAAGAACCUUACCUGGUCUUGACAUCCACAGAACUUUCCAGAGAUGGAUUGGUGCCUUCGGGAACUGUGAGACAGGUGCUGCAUGGCUGUCGUCAGCUCGUGUUGUGAAAUGUUGGGUUAAGUCCCGCAACGAGCGCAACCCUUAUCCUUUGUUGCCAGCGGUUAGGCCGGGAACUCAAAGGAGACUGCCAGUGAUAAACUGGAGGAAGGUGGGG
This 407-nucleotide ribosomal RNA is filed under the name Klebsiella pneumoniae. RNAcentral's name for it is "bacterial SSU rRNA". It matches the Rfam family "Bacterial small subunit ribosomal RNA", at positions 771 to 1178 of the family's 1533-position model. The record is from RNAcentral. Lineage: Bacteria; Pseudomonadati; Pseudomonadota; Gammaproteobacteria; Enterobacterales; Enterobacteriaceae.